This 70-nucleotide transfer RNA is filed under the name Camelus bactrianus (Bactrian camel). It matches the Rfam family "tRNA". From Rfam's summary of the family: Transfer RNA (tRNA) molecules are approximately 80 nucleotides in length. Their secondary structure includes four short double-helical elements and three loops (D, anti-codon, and T loops). Lineage: Eukaryota; Metazoa; Chordata; Mammalia; Artiodactyla; Camelidae. RNAcentral also lists the same sequence under 2 other names. The record is from Rfam by way of RNAcentral.
GGGUGUAGCUCAGUGGUAGAGUGCGUGCUUAGCAUGCGCAAGGUCCUAGGUUCGAUCCCCAGUACCUCCA